AUAUCAGGUGCUUCUGUCAAAUCAUCAACAAACAUGCCGAUUGAGGGGAGCUCUGUCAACCUAACCUGUGAUGCAGCUGGCGCUGUCUUUACCAGAAAGUGGGUGAAGGACGGCUCAGAUCUGACUCUGGCUGACAACAUGAUACUUCACGAUAACAACAGAGUGCUGUCUUUUAUCAGUCUGAAUAAAAAAGACAGUGGAGAAUAUUCCUGUUAAAUCAGCAACCCAAUCAACACUGAGGAAGCUACAUACACCGUGGUUGUUAACUUAUCUUGCCCAAGGACACUUUGACAUGCAACCAGGGGGAGCCAGGGAUUGAACCACCAACCUUCUACCACCUGAGCCACAGCCACCCCAUUCUGGAUUACCUGCCUGUUUUGGACCUAGUUCCAGUGCUGUAUGGAUUUGGCUUUAUUUUGGACUCUGUCUGCACCUUUCUGUGUACACCCUGUGUUUCAGUAAGUUUGAAUAAACCCCUGAACUGUA
Micropterus dolomieu (smallmouth bass) is the source of this 486-nucleotide long non-coding RNA. RefSeq lists it as uncharacterized. The record is from RefSeq and is a predicted model, not a curated record. The transcript has 2 exons. NCBI's taxonomy places the organism in Eukaryota, Metazoa, Chordata, Actinopteri, Centrarchiformes, Centrarchidae.